Molecule: ribosomal RNA, 67 nt
Filed under: Perenniporia corticola
Lineage: Eukaryota; Fungi; Basidiomycota; Agaricomycetes; Polyporales; Polyporaceae
Description: partial 28S ribosomal RNA
Source: RNAcentral
UUGACCUCUGACCUCAAAUCAGGUAGGACUACCCGCUGAACUUAAGCAUAUCAAAAGCCGAAAGGAA